UUAGACUCACCAAUCCAUCAUAGUGUGAGGUUGAUGUUGAUGUUAUAAUGAGUUUUAUAGGGACUUUCUUGAUGUAAAACUAUACAUUUUUAUUUUUUUUGUUUAAUAUGGUAUUUCCAUUUUAAUAUAAUUUACUACCUUUUUAAGAUAGAUGUACAUUUUAAGAUAGAUGCUUAAAUCUUAAUGUUCUUUUUAUAUUUUUUAAAAUGUUUAUUUCCAUUUCUUUUAUUUUUUUUACGUAAUAUCUAUAUUUUAUAUUUUAAAAUAGAUAUUUAAAUCUUAAUUUACUUUUUCCAUUUUUUCAAAUUGUGUAUUUACUUAUAUUAUAUAUUUUACAUUUUAAGAUAGAUGUUUAAUGCUUAAUGAACUUUUUCCAUUUUUUUAAAAAAGUUGUGUAUUUACUUAUUAUUAUAUAGAUAAUUAUAUAUUAUAUAUUUACAUUAUUUACUUAUUAUUUAUUGAUAAUUCAUAUAUUAUAUAUUUAAUGCUUAAUGUUUAUUUCCACUUCAUGACUUUUUAUUUACUUAAUAUCUCUAUUUUACAUUUUAAGAUAGAUGUUUAAAUCUUAAUGUACGUUUUCCUUUUUUUUUUAAAUUGUAUAUUUCCA
This 607-nucleotide long non-coding RNA is filed under the name Brassica rapa (field mustard). Its description in RNAcentral is "long non-coding RNA (BRAP_LNC004590)". The record is from RNAcentral. Lineage: Eukaryota; Viridiplantae; Streptophyta; Magnoliopsida; Brassicales; Brassicaceae.